UAGCUGUUAAUAGGACGUAAAACACAAACCAACCAAUCAAGAAACUGGUUAUCUGCCCAAACCACUUAACCCACCCAAAAUUCCACGUCAGCUCUACGACGGGUACACAAGAGACUGGAAGUAAAGGCUCAAUGGAUGUGCUACUUGAUUCCAUUCUGGAGGUUUUCAUCGUGUACCUCGCCAGUUAUCUCACAAGAGGAAAUGAUAACAUUGGGCCAUACCAGCGCCGUGUGUACUCGAAAUACGUCUUUAUACUUUCUGCCUUUUCGAAGAUGAUGGAUAUGCUCCAUACUUUUGGAUAUAUUAACAUAGAAGUAUCAGCGUUUGUCUUUAUAAUCGGACAUUCCUGCUUUCUUAAAAUAUUUGGCCAACCAGAGGUGAUGUGUGAUAAAUGGAAAUUGACUUUGUUUACACUUGCUAUCGUCCUGUCGCUCGCAUUCUCAACUACCUAUCCACUGCUUCUGGCGGCGGCAUUGAAAAUAUUUCCAAGGUGGUUGUGUUGAACAUUGAAGCUACAAUGAAACUUGAUACUAAGAAUCCCUCUCCUGUGAUGUGCUGAUCAAAAGAGGAAAAUAUUUUUAAUCAUACUUACCACAUUCUAUUUUUUUUACAAGUAAUAUAGACGAAUCAUAUAGACAACAUAGUCGGCUAAAAUGGCUCCCAUUGGGUGUCUGGAUUUUAAAUUAAAAAACAUCACCCAUUCUUGCGCCAUAAACCUUGUUCACGUUCUUCAUUAUUCU
Molecule: long non-coding RNA, 740 nt
Organism: Mizuhopecten yessoensis (Yesso scallop)
Lineage: Eukaryota; Metazoa; Mollusca; Bivalvia; Pectinida; Pectinidae
Exons: 3
Source: RefSeq, a predicted model, not a curated record